CGGGAGAUAGCACAGAGGAAGUGUAUCUGAUUUGGGUUCAGAUGGUCGCAGGUUCGAAUCCUGUUCCCCCGU
RNAcentral lists this transfer RNA (72 nucleotides) under Candidatus Vidania fulgoroideorum. RNAcentral's name for it is "tRNA-Pro". It matches the Rfam family "tRNA". From Rfam's summary of the family: Transfer RNA (tRNA) molecules are approximately 80 nucleotides in length. Their secondary structure includes four short double-helical elements and three loops (D, anti-codon, and T loops). Lineage: Bacteria; Pseudomonadati; Pseudomonadota; Betaproteobacteria. The record is from RNAcentral.